This 139-nucleotide non-coding RNA is filed under the name Ipomoea nil (Japanese morning glory). Its description in RNAcentral is "Eukaryotic large subunit ribosomal RNA". It matches the Rfam family "Eukaryotic large subunit ribosomal RNA", at positions 3264 to 3401 of the family's 3401-position model. Lineage: Eukaryota; Viridiplantae; Streptophyta; Magnoliopsida; Solanales; Convolvulaceae. The record is from Rfam by way of RNAcentral.
CGCCUUGAUUACAAUUCCGAUCGAGCGGCGAGCUGAAUCCUUUGCAGACGACUUAAAUACGCGACGGGGUAUUGUAAGGGGUAGAGUGGCCUUGCUGCCACGAUCCUCUGAGAUUCAGCCCUUUGUCGCUCCGAUUCGU